GAAUGACAAGACAUAAGUCAAUGUGUAGUUGUAAAGCAAGACAACAUCGCAGGCAGCGAUGAGAGAAGUUGCACACAACCAUGACAUAGCGACACAAACAUGAGGUGAUUCAAAAAUCAGUUGUAUUAGGAUCACACACUCCGCCUGCAAGUGCCAGGCGUAAAAGUGCCUCUGCUGGAAACGACACCGCUACGCGAUGUCAUUGAGCUAAUUCACAGCAAAUACAUUUUGGUACAGAAUGGACACCUCCAGCUGCAGAAUGGGCACUCCAUUUCAGUGCGAGGACUGGGAACAGGGAGAUAUGGCAAUCCUUCACUUUCAUGCACGCAGGAUCACUUCAACACACCCAAGGCACUAGAUUCCACAGGACGCUGAGAUCAGUGCUAGUCUCAUGUCCUGGACACUUUGCAUCUCUAUUCCUUCGCUUGCCUUCGCCACGCCUCUCUGCCCACCGCGCCGCGGCGGUUCCUCUACUGGGACGCUGGAGCUUGGCCUCCGGCGUAGAAAGUUCCUUGCUUGAUGGCAUCGGCGUUGGCAUCUCCCAGUGCGGCGGAAGACAGAUAUUGUUCGGCGAGCUGUACACGCUUUACGUUCUGUUGCUCCUGCACCAACAUUUCUCCGUACUCCAUCAGCUUCUCGAUGGUCAUGGCGGGCUUCUCGAAGGUUGGGGGUCCGUUCUUGGAGUUCACCAAGUUCUUUCCGAUGUUCUCCACUCCCGUACCUGCGAUCCACUUCCUCACCUCGUCGUCGUACACACGCGCCCUCAGGGCACCGAAGAAAUCUGAGUUACGAGAUAGUUCAGGUUAGAAUUCAGUCGAAGCCACAGUUUCAAUAAAUUAAUAUUAAACCAGCAUCAUCCAGCUGAACGCGAGAAUCAGUAGGGCCUUUUAUUACAUACCGAUGGACUGUCCAGGGAAUUGGUC
This 923-nucleotide long non-coding RNA is filed under the name Physcomitrium patens. Its description in RNAcentral is "long non-coding RNA (PPAT_LNC005707)". Lineage: Eukaryota; Viridiplantae; Streptophyta; Bryopsida; Funariales; Funariaceae. The record is from RNAcentral.